AGUUUUAUAGUUUAAACAAAAUAUUAAAUUGCAAAUUUAAGGAUAAAAUAUAAUUUUUAAAACUU
RNAcentral lists this transfer RNA (65 nucleotides) under Dyscolus funereus. RNAcentral describes it as "tRNA-Cys". Lineage: Eukaryota; Metazoa; Arthropoda; Insecta; Coleoptera; Carabidae. The record is from RNAcentral.